AGGUGCAGCUUGCUGCUUCGCUGACAAGUGGCGGACGGGUGAAUAAUGUCUGGGAAACUGCCUGAUGGAGGGGGAUAACUACUGGAAACGGUAGCUAAUACCGCAUAACGUCGCAAGACCAAAGAGGGGGACCUUCGGGCCUCUUGCCAUCGGAUGUGCCCAGAUGGGAUUAGCUAGUAGGUGGGGUAACGGCUCACCUAGGCGACGAUCCCUAGCUGGUCUGAGAGGAUGACCAGCCACACUGGAACUGAGACACGGACCAGACUCCUACGGGAGGCAGCAGUGGGGAAUAUUGCACAAUGGGCGCAAGCCUGAUGCAGCCAUGCCGCGUGUAUGAAAAAGGCCUUCGGGUUGUAAAGUACUUUCAGCGGGGAGGAAGGGAGUAAAGUUAAUACCUUUGCUCAUUGACGUUACCCGCAGAAUAAGCACCGGCUAACUCCGUGCCAGCAGCCGCGGUAAUACGGAGGGUGCAAGCGUUAAUCGGAAUUACUGGGCGUAAAGCGCACGCAGGCGGUUUGUUAAGUCAUAUGUGAAAUCCCCGGGCUCAACCUGGGAACUGCAUCUGAUACUGGCAAGCUUGAGUCUCGUAGAGGGGGGUAGAAUUCCAUGU
RNAcentral lists this ribosomal RNA (610 nucleotides) under Escherichia coli. RNAcentral's name for it is "bacterial SSU rRNA". It matches the Rfam family "Bacterial small subunit ribosomal RNA", at positions 71 to 674 of the family's 1533-position model. The record is from RNAcentral. Lineage: Bacteria; Pseudomonadati; Pseudomonadota; Gammaproteobacteria; Enterobacterales; Enterobacteriaceae.